AAAGAUCACUGGUUGCAUUGGGGAGAAUGGAUUAGAAAGGACGCAGUUAGAGGCGUGGAGAACAAUUGGACUCGUAGGACUCAGUCCUUUUCCCUGGAACCAAACCUUAACAACUAAAUUUUACAUAUUCCAGACAAUUGGGACAAACAUUGUCUGGCCAACUGUUCCUAAGGUUUCAGAAAUUCAGCAGGUCCUUUAUCAAUGCUCUCUGCUGCCCCCGUGGGGAUGACUUUUUCCAAGUCAUUGGUUAUCCUGCAGGCCACGACAAAAACAGCCUUGUCUCACCAACCACACCAGUUAAUUAGAAAAUUAGUCAGUUCUUCUUUGGUUGAUUGUUCAAUCAAAUAAAAA
This 351-nucleotide long non-coding RNA is filed under the name Equus asinus (donkey). Its description in RNAcentral is "lncRNA (ENSEASG00005030955.1)". The record is from RNAcentral. Lineage: Eukaryota; Metazoa; Chordata; Mammalia; Perissodactyla; Equidae.